Non-coding RNA from Myodes glareolus (Bank vole), 977 nucleotides. The record is from RefSeq and is a predicted model, not a curated record. NCBI's taxonomy places the organism in Eukaryota, Metazoa, Chordata, Mammalia, Rodentia, Cricetidae.
GUCCAGCGUCCGGCCCACUGGCCGAUCCCGGCGACUCGCCGGCUUUCGGGCAGCUGACGCUCGAACCCUCCAAAGGCCGCAGACCCCGGACCCGCUGCAGGAAGGGCGGGCGGGAGGAGCACUGCGCAGGCGCAGGGAGUGGCCGGGCACCCAAUCAUAGCCCGUGCCGGGCCGCAGACCACCUCGGCUCCACCUCGCUCCAGCUCGGCUGCGGGUUUGGGCUCCAGAACAAGUUUUCCUGCGAGUUGAGGGGCCGAGGGCGCUGCGGGAUUGUUUAUAACUCAGGAAGCUCGACUCGUCUUUUUCUUUGGAGAAGUUUGUUUUAACCACUUAAUGGUAUUGUUUAAUUUAGUAUGACACCGGAUCUCUAAAAGAAAGCGUUUGCUUUCAUUUUGGCCACUGUUGGUUUUGUUUUGUUUUUUAGAUUGCUUUGCCAUAACCGGGGAAAUUUGAAUUAAGGGUGGGGCAUGACCCUGGUACAUCCCCGCCCGACGCGCGCCUCUUUCAGUAUGAGUUGGAGAAACAUAACAAAGGGGAAGUUUCUUUAAUGAAAAAAGUUUUCGAAGAGAUAUGGAACAGAAGGGUGGGAUGGAAGAAAAACUUCUCUUUCACUCUUCAUCUUCGGCUACCCAGGAUUUGACCAUCACACAGGUGGAUCACAACAUCCCGAAGAAGCUUCUUAGCCUGGCGUAGCCUCAUUAGUCGAGUCUUGCUUUUGUUAUUGUGCUUCUGGGAUUGCAGCCACAGACAUUCUUGUUCUGGCCACUGUUGUGGAGGAUUUCUUUCUCAUAUAUCUUCAGUACUGAAAAUGGAAUUCAAGACCCGUGUCAGGCAAGCACCCCAGCACUCAGCUUUGUCUCGACCCCCAACUUGCCCACUGUGUCCCUGACCACAGUUUGUGCCUGCCACUCAUUCUCCAGAAAUGCUUAUUUAACUCAGUACUUGGGCUCUCUUAAGUGCUAGUAAAUCAUCUGUAU